UUUUGAGGUUCAUGGUCGAAGGAUCCGUGACUUUAGACCAAAGUGGCCUUCAUCUUCAUUUGUUUCAUCUGAGGGAUUGGUGACGGCAAUGGCCUAUCGUCUGCCUCAUGUGGUUAUGGGCGACAGGUCAGGAAACAUUCGCUGGUGGGAUGUUACUACUGGACAGUCGUCCUCAUUUAACACCCAUAGGGAAGGCAUCCGUAGAAUCAAGUUCUCACCAGUUGUUCCUGGAGAUCGUAGUCGUGGGCGUAUUGCCGUUCUGUUUUAUGAUAAUACAUUUUCGGUAUUUGAUCUGGACUCACCUGAUCCAUUAGCCAAUUCACUUUUACAACCUCAAUUUCCUGGAACUCUUGUAUUGGAG
RNAcentral lists this unclassified non-coding RNA (361 nucleotides) under Hevea brasiliensis (rubber tree). The record is from RNAcentral. Lineage: Eukaryota; Viridiplantae; Streptophyta; Magnoliopsida; Malpighiales; Euphorbiaceae.